RNAcentral lists this small RNA (1119 nucleotides) under Pongo abelii (Sumatran orangutan). RNAcentral describes it as "retained intron". The record is from RNAcentral. Lineage: Eukaryota; Metazoa; Chordata; Mammalia; Primates; Hominidae.
GGAAUGGCGUUACUGCCUGCUUGAUGUUAGGACUGAUUUCAGUGGAGGGAGGGAGGCUGCAAAAAGGAGGCCCAAGUCCUCGGGAAGAUGAGAUAAGCAGAGAAUCGCAGCCAGGUAGGGGAGGGGGACAGAGGCCCCACAGUCAGAAGAGUCAGGCCCCGGGAAGCUGCAAGACCCCGCCUGCUGCCAUCACGGUGAAAAUGGGCUACAUCUGGACUCCAGGAGCGGCUCUGCAGGGUGCCAACAUCUAUUAAGGGCUGAAAAGACGGAAGUUUUGAGUGAAGACCUUCUUCAGGUGGAGAAGCGUCUGGAGCUGGUGAAACAGGUGUCCCACAGCACGCACAAGAAGCUCACCGCAUGUCUGCAGGGCCAGCAAGGGGCAGAGGCUGACAAGCGCUCCAAAAAGUUGCCUUUGACAACACUGGCUCAGUGUCUGAUGGAGGGGUCAGCUAUCCUGGGAGAUGACACACUUCUUGGGAAGAUGCUGAAACUCUGUGGAGAGACAGAGGACAAGCUGGCUCAGGAGCUGAUACAUUUUGAGUUGCAAGUAGAGAGAGACGUGAUUGAGCCCCUGUUUUUGCUGGCGGAGGUGGAAAUCCCAAAUAUUCAAAAGCAGAGGAAACACUUAGCCAAGUUGGUGCUGGACAUGGAUUCCUCACGAACCAGGUGGCAGCAGACUUCCAAGUCUUCAGGUUUGUCCAGCAGCUUACAGCCUGCGGGUGCCAAGGCUGAUGCCCUCAGGGAAGAAAUGGAAGAGGCUGCCAACAGAGUGGAGAUUUGCAGGGUACCUGCCCUCUUUGCUCCUCUCUACUGGGACAGGCUGGGGAGCCCUCAGGGAUUCCCUUUUUGUUCACUGGAGUUCUCUUAAAACUCUGUCAGUGAGCCUCUAGUUGAACUGAAUGUCCCCAAGCCCGCCGGCUAGCAUCUCCAAGGAGUCCAGGAUGAACCCAAGGAGUUGGGGCUUUGAUGGUGACCUAGACAGGGAGGCAGCAUUCAGUUAUCAUUGGUGGUCCUGCAUGCUAGGCAAAGAGAAAUGACCUUUAUUUUUGUGUGAAGCUUUUGUAAAUCAUCUGAGUCCCAAAGAAUAAAUUCUAGGUGACACAGGACAGUUGAGAAUUU